AUUGAACGCUGGCGGCAGGCCUAACACAUGCAAGUCGAGCGGAUGAAGGGAGCUUGCUCCUGGAUUCAGCGGCGGACGGGUGAGUAAUUCCUAGGAAUCUGCCUGGUAGUUGGAGAUAACGUCCGGAAACGGGCGCUAAUACCGCAUACGUCCUUAGGGAGAAAGGGGGGGAUCUUCGGACCUCACGCUAUCAGAUGAGCCUAGGUCGGAUUAGCUAGUUGGUGGGGUAAAGGCCUACCAAGGCGACGAUCCGUAACUGGUCUGAGAGGAUGAUCAGUCACACUGGAACUGAGACACGGUCCAGACUCCUACGGGAGGCAGCAGUGGGGAAUAUUGGACAAUGGGCGAAAGCCUGAUCCAGCCAUGCCGCGUGUGUGAAGAAGGUCUUCGGAUUGUAAAGCACUUUAAGUUGGGAGGAAGGGCAGUAAGUUAAUACCUUGCUGUUUUGACGUUACCAACAGAAUAAGCACCGGCUAACUUCGUG
This 484-nucleotide ribosomal RNA is filed under the name uncultured bacterium. RNAcentral's name for it is "partial 16S ribosomal RNA". It matches the Rfam family "Bacterial small subunit ribosomal RNA", at positions 30 to 507 of the family's 1533-position model. The record is from RNAcentral.